Molecule: ribosomal RNA, 444 nt
Filed under: uncultured bacterium
Lineage: Bacteria
Description: bacterial SSU rRNA
Rfam family: Bacterial small subunit ribosomal RNA
Source: RNAcentral
CCUACGGGGGGCUGCAGUAAGGGAUCUUGCGACAAUGGGCGAAAGCCUGACGCAGCAACGCCGCGUGCGGGAUGACGGCCUUCGGGUUGUAAACCGCUUUUCGGGGGGAAGAGGAAGGACGGUACCCCCGGAAGAAGUCUCGGCUAACUACGUGCCAGCAGCCGCGGUAAAACGUAGGAGGCGAGCGUUAUCCGGAUUUACUGGGUGUAAAGCGCGUGUAGGCGGUCGUGCAAGUGGUGCGUGAAAGCGCCCGGCUCAACCGGGCGAGGACGUGGGCGAACUGCGCGACUAGAGGCAGGUAGAGGCGUGUGGAAUUCCGGGUGUAGUGGUGAAAUGCGUAGAGAUCCGGAGGAACACCAGUGGCGAAGGCGACACGCUGGGCCUGGCCUGACGCUGAGAGGCGAAAGCAUGGGGAGCGAACGGGAUUAGAUACCCUAGUAGUCU